Non-coding RNA from Erinaceus europaeus (western European hedgehog), 70 nucleotides. The record is from Rfam. NCBI's taxonomy places the organism in Eukaryota, Metazoa, Chordata, Mammalia, Eulipotyphla, Erinaceidae.
AUAUAUGAUGACUUCCUUAGAAUCUCGUUCGACUGAUAAUUUGACUGCUGAGACUGGAAUUCUGAUGUGC